CGGUAACAUUUCUAGCUUGCUAGAAGAUGACGAGUGGCGGACGGGUGAGUAAUGCUUGGGAACUUGCCUUUGCGAGGGGGAUAACAGUUGGAAACGACUGCUAAUACCGCAUAAUGUCUUCGGACCAAACGGGGCUUCGGCUCCGGCGCAAAGAGAGGCCCAAGUGAGAUUAGCUAGUUGGUAAGGUAACGGCUUACCAAGGCGACGAUCUCUAGCUGUUCUGAGAGGAAGAUCAGCCACACUGGGACUGAGACACGGCCCAGACUCCUACGGGAGGCAGCAGUGGGGAAUACUGCACAAUGGGGGAAACCCUGAUGCAGCCAUGCCGCGUGUGUGAAGAAGGCCUUCGGGUUGUAAAGCACUUUCAGUUGUGAGGAAAAGUUAGUAGUUAAUACCUGCUAGCCGUGACGUUAACAACAGAAGAAGCACCGGCUAACUCCGUGCCAGCAGCCGCGGUAAUACGGAGGGUGCGAGCGUUAAUCGGAAUUACUGGGCGUAAAGCGCACGCAGGCGGUUUGUUAAGCUAGAUGUGAAAGCCCCGGGCUCAACCUGGGAUGGUCAUUUAGAACUGGCAGACUAGAGUCUUGGAGAGGGGAGUGGAAUUCCAGGUGUAGCGGUGAAAUGCGUAGAUAUCUGGAGGAACAUCAGUGGCGAAGGCGACUCCCUGGCCAAAGACUGACGCUCAUGUGCGAAAGUGUGGGUAGCGAACAGGAUUAGAUACCCUGGUAGUCCACACCGUAAACGCUGUCUACUAGCUGUGUGUGCCUUUAAGGCGUGCGUAGCGAAGCUAACGCGCUAAGUAGACCGCCUGGGGAGUACGGCCGCAAGGUUAAAACUCAAAUGAAUUGACGGGGGCCCGCACAAGCGGUGGAGCAUGUGGUUUAAUUCGAUGCAACGCGAAGAACCUUACCUACACUUGACAUGCUGAGAAGUUACUAGAGAUAGUUUCGUGCCUUCGGGAACUCAGACACAGGUGCUGCAUGG
Molecule: ribosomal RNA, 984 nt
Filed under: uncultured Alteromonas sp.
Lineage: Bacteria; Pseudomonadati; Pseudomonadota; Gammaproteobacteria; Alteromonadales; Alteromonadaceae
Description: bacterial SSU rRNA
Rfam family: Bacterial small subunit ribosomal RNA
Source: RNAcentral